This 765-nucleotide ribosomal RNA is filed under the name uncultured bacterium. Its description in RNAcentral is "bacterial SSU rRNA". It matches the Rfam family "Bacterial small subunit ribosomal RNA", at positions 28 to 806 of the family's 1533-position model. The record is from RNAcentral.
GACGAACUCUGGCGGCGCGCCUAACACAUGCAAGUCGAACGAGCAAGAGAGAGCUUGCUUUCUCGAGCGAGUGGCGAACGGGUGAGUAACGCGUGAGGAACCUGCCUCAAAGAGGGGGACAACAGUUGGAAACGACUGCUAAUACCGCAUAAGCCCACGACCCGGCAUCGGGUAGAGGGAAAAGGAGCAAUCCGCUUUGAGAUGGCCUCGCGUCCGAUUAGCUAGUUGGUGAGGUAACGGCCCACCAAGGCAACGAUCGGUAGCCGGACUGAGAGGUUGAACGGCCACAUUGGGACUGAGACACGGCCCAGACUCCUACGGGAGGCAGCAGUGGGGAAUAUUGCACAAUGGGGGAAACCCUGAUGCAGCGACGCCGCGUGGAGGAAGAAGGUCUUCGGAUUGUAAACUCCUGUUGUUGAGGAAGAUAAUGACGGUACUCAACAAGGAAGUGACGGCUAACUACGUGCCAGCAGCCGCGGUAAAACGUAGGUCACAAGCGUUGUCCGGAAUUACUGGGUGUAAAGGGAGCGCAGGCGGGAAGACAAGUUGGAAGUGAGAUCCAUGGGCUCAACCCAUGAACUGCUUUCAAAACUGUUUUUCUUGAGUAGUGCAGAGGUAGGCGGAAUUCCCGGUGUAGCGGUGGAAUGCGUAGAUAUCGGGAGGAACACCAGUGGCGAAGGCGGCCUACUGGGCACCAACUGACGCUGAGGCUCGAAAGUGUGGGUAGCAAACAGGAUUAGAUACCCUGGUAGUCCACACCGUAAA